CGGUCUGUACUUCAGAAAUAACUACAAUCUAAGCAAUGUUGAAGACAUUUUAAGGAAGUCAUGCCAUUGGGCCUAGCAUACAAAGUGCUUGAUAGAAGCUUCAUUAAUCUUAUUAAAUAACAUGUCUUCGUCAUGCAUUGAUUAGACAUACAAAUCAUUAAUCCCCAUAAGGGAUUGCAGAGGAAUUUAAUGUCACUCCAAAACCAGCCUUUUCCUGCCUAUGGUUGUCAAGGUAACGAGCAUCUUACAUUCUAAGCAAACAGAUCUUUCAACAAAAGAUUUCUGAAGCCACCAUAGGUAACAUACAGCUGCCCAUGCCUCCCUCUUUGUAGAAGAGUUUCCGGGAGAAGCCUCGGGAGGGCUAAUCAAGAUAUUAAAUUUACUCACAGACAACCUGUGUCAAUGCCUGGUAGCAAGUUGGGUGUUCAAUGGAAAUGAAAGAUUAGAAGACCAUUUAGAUGGCUUGGUGGGCAGAGUGCUCACCAACAAGUCUGAGGAACUGAUACCCAGAAUCCACCUGGUGUAAAGACAAAAAUGACCUCCUGAAAGAUGCCUUCUGACCUCUGCACGGAUGCUAUGGCCCAGUCCACACCUGGAACCUGAAGCAGACAACGGUAAGGGAUUACAGCAUUAAUAAAAUGGACAACGGAGACUCGAAGAAUACAAAACAAUAGCCAGAAGAGUGCCAGUGCAGGAGGAGAGAAGGCAUGAGGUUUCACGUUACCACUUAGGCCAAUGGCAGCAUCUGAAUCUGAAGAACUGCACAGUUGAAAUGAAAGCAGCUUCAAGAAUGCAUUACUACCUUAAUGAUGCGUAGAGAAGCUCUGUGGACAAAUCAAACAGGCCCACUGUUGUCUGCUAUCAACCCAGAAGUUUUAUCUGUGUGCAAUGCUAAGAAUGCUAUCGGGAUGUUAUUUGGAGAGACAGAGCAAUGCCACUGAGGAGAACAUAUUCGACAGUACUUGACUCACAUACGAGGUUGAAAGACACAGGGCAGAUAUGAAAAAUGGGGAGAAGAGAAG
Molecule: small RNA, 1022 nt
Filed under: Rattus norvegicus (Norway rat)
Lineage: Eukaryota; Metazoa; Chordata; Mammalia; Rodentia; Muridae
Description: uncharacterized LOC102546952
Source: RNAcentral